RNAcentral lists this ribosomal RNA (265 nucleotides) under uncultured Staphylococcus sp. Its description in RNAcentral is "partial 16S ribosomal RNA". It matches the Rfam family "Bacterial small subunit ribosomal RNA", at positions 96 to 356 of the family's 1533-position model. The record is from RNAcentral. Lineage: Bacteria; Bacillati; Bacillota; Bacilli; Caryophanales; Staphylococcaceae.
CGGCGGACGGGUGAGUAACACGUGGAUAACCUACCUAUAAGACUGGGAUAACUUCGGGAAACCGGAGCUAAUACCGGAUAAUAUAUUGAACCUCAUGGUUCAAUGGUGAAAGACGGUUUUGCUGUCACUUAUAGAUGGAUCCGCGCCGCAUUAGCUAGUUGGUAAGGUAACGGCUUACCAAGGCAACGAUGCGUAGCCGACCUGAGAGGGUGAUCGGCCACACUGGAACUGAGACACGGUCCAGACUCCUAGGGAGGCAGCAGCG